AACAGCUUCUGAAGUUCUCCCACUUCUCUCGAGACAGUCAAGUAAGAUAUUGUAUGUCACUAUGUUAGGAUAACAGCCAGCUGCAAGCAUUUCAUCGAAUAGCCGACGUGCCAUCUCAACUUUUUCAGUCUUCCCAAAGCACUCAAUGAGAGUGCUGUAUGUUACAACAUCAGGAUUCAAGCCCUUCUCCUGCAUCUCAAUGAAUUUCAUGUGUGCUUCAUCAAUGUCUCCGUUCUUUCCCAGACAAUUUAUCAAGGAGUUGUAGGAGACAAUAUCAGGUUUACAAUUGCUAUUCUCAAGUUCUUCAAAAAUCUUGAGAGCUUCCCCAACCUCCCCCGCUCUA
RNAcentral lists this unclassified non-coding RNA (343 nucleotides) under Hevea brasiliensis (rubber tree). Lineage: Eukaryota; Viridiplantae; Streptophyta; Magnoliopsida; Malpighiales; Euphorbiaceae. The record is from RNAcentral.